This is a long non-coding RNA of Acipenser ruthenus (sterlet), 878 nucleotides long. RefSeq lists it as uncharacterized. The transcript is spliced from 3 exons. The record is from RefSeq and is a predicted model, not a curated record. Lineage: Eukaryota; Metazoa; Chordata; Actinopteri; Acipenseriformes; Acipenseridae.
UCACGCUAUGUAAGAAAGAUGCUCAAACAGACGAAGUCUCGCCACUGCAAUGACAUGUAUGUAGAAUUUAACCACUUCGGUUGAGAUUCAAACAAAACUGCCAGACACAACAUCCUGAUUAUUGUAUUUAAGAGAAACAUUUGUAAGUGUGGCUGAAUUACUGAAGCACUGAUAGAAAAUGUGAAAGUUGUGGAAGUAGGUCGUGGUAAAUGUUGGGCUUUCCGUGAAACUGGGUCAGACUUCCCGGAUUUGUUCCAGCUUAGUGGGAACCACCAGAACAAGAUGGGAAGGUUUGCAGAUAACACUAGAUUCCAGUCAAACAUACCCAAAGCUGCUGAUAUUAUUGUUGCAAUAGUUUAUUCUAUAUUUGGAGUUUUCUCUUUGUUUGGAAACAGUAUGCUCCUGUAUGUCGCAUACAAAGUAAAAGACUUUGCUGAAGCCGGCAGAGUUUUUCUUCAUCAACCUUGCCAUCAGUGACCUUGGCAUGACUGUGACUUUAUAUCCUCUAGCUAUAGCUUCCAGCAUAUCACACAGGUAGGUUCGGUGGCCUGGAUUUUCCACUUCCCUUUAUGAAGUUGUGUUCAUUUCAGUUAUUUACGCCUGUUUAAGGGGAAUGCAAUAUGACAAGUAAUGUAUUUUCAGUACAGUAAUGCAUUUUGAGUAAAAGAAAAAUAUGAAACCGUUGUAAUUACAGAUAGUGGUGUAAUAGGGCAGCAGUGUGGAGUAGUGGUAAGGGCUCUGGACUCUCCCAGGUGGGGACACUGCUGCUGUACCCUUGAGCAAGGUACUUUACCUAGAUUGCUCCAGUAAAAACACAACUGUAUAAAUGGGUAAUUGUAUGUAAAAAUAAUGUGAUAUCUUGUAAUAAUUGUAAGUUG